RNAcentral lists this long non-coding RNA (363 nucleotides) under Androctonus crassicauda. Lineage: Eukaryota; Metazoa; Arthropoda; Arachnida; Scorpiones; Buthidae. The record is from RNAcentral.
AACAAUGUGGAAGUAUUGUAGGAUGGAGUUGUUAUACAGUGAAAGACAUGUAGAGAUUUGGUUCAUAGGAAUAAAACAAAAAAUAAAAACAUUCUUCCGCUUCUCAAUCUUGUUGGGCAGGUAUUUCCGGGGAGCGGCUGGUUCCGCUGGGGGGUGGUCAUUUGGGGGAUCCUCUUCUUUGUCCCUCAUAGGUAUUUCGGGAGUCUCUGCUGAUGUUGCAUGAGUCAUCUUACCCAGUGAUUUUGUUGCUUGGGCUUUCUGGCAAUCUGUUUCUAAUUCCUUAUCAUACAUUACAUGCUCAUUGCUAGGACUGUGUUCAAUUUAGCAUUAGCUAUGUCUCUCUUAUGUUUUUGUAGUCUCUGA